AUGGGGAACAUACACCAGGCCGGCGUCAAGAAAGAUGACCAUGGCGGCGGUGACAACCAGCAGCUACAGGUGGUCUCCGUUCUCGAGCUCCAGGCCGGCGUUGUGGAAGACCAGCCGCAGCCUCUCGGCGGAUGGCAUGCCGUCGAGGCAACCUCCAUGUUGGAAAAUUGCAAGGCAAACAGUACUGCUACAGAUGGAGGCACCAGCAGCAGGAUAGAUAUCCUCGGGCCUGCAACCGAACAGAAUAUCCCAAAACCCAGUGAUCCUCCUCAUCCAUGCCCGCCGCCACAGUCGCUGCCGGAGGGUGUGCAGUCCGUGCUCAAAACGUCACGGGUUAAUCGAAAGUGCAUUGGAGACGGUGAUGGCUUCACUGCUUAUGAGGAGAGGAUUGCAGGUGAUACAAACAUCCGAGAUCCACCGAAAUACAAAAUUAGAAUGAAGGGGAUUGAUGCACCGGAGCUGGAUAUGGAAUAUGGCAUGGAGUCAAAGGAUGAAUUGGUGAGGCUUAUUGGGGGGAAGCGUGUUUCGAUUCUUGUGUAUGGGCCAGACAAAUAUGGACGAUCUCUUGGUGACAUCUACUGUGACGGUGUCUUUAUCCAAGAACAAAUGCUGAAAGGGGNNNNNNNNNNNNNNNNNNNAAUGUGUGAUUUUCUCAUCCUUAAUUAUACAUGGCAUGUGUUUCUCGCUCACAUUUUAAUCAAUUGUUUUGUUCAGUGGCAGAGAGAGGCGAAAAAGGCACGCCGAGGGCUUUGGUCGUUAGAUAAACCACAGAAACCAUGGAUUUGGAGGAGAGAUAAUCCACGCAUCGACAACAAGAAGGGGAAUGCAGAUGACAUUCAGGUAGAACCGCAGAACCAGGUCAAUGAGAGCAGUAUAGCUCUACCAUUGCUGAUAAUGAAAGAUAUGGAGGAUCUGGGUAGGAAAUGGAAAGGGAGUUUGGAAAAUUUUGUGUCUGAGAACAUGAAACUACACGAUCAGGUACAGGAGUUAAAGAGAGAUAAGAAGGAGGCUGAGGAACGUGCUAGGAAGGCAGAAAAAGAAAUGGAAAGUGCUGUGGCUGACAACAUGAAGCUGAAUGCUCAGCUUCAGGAAUCUGAAAUUAAUAAAAAGGAGGCCGAGGACCGAGUUUUACAGUUGGAUUUCUUCUCAGGAAGUGUUGCAGCUGUGAACAUGGAUUUGCACAAUAAGAUUGAGGUUUUAGAGAAUGAGAAUAAAAAGGCCGAGGACCGAGCAAAGGAGGCAGAAAGUGAAAUGGAGAGUGUUGUGGCUGAGAACAGGAAACUGAACGAUCAGCUCCAGGUAGUAGAGGGCCAAGCAGUGAAGCUGAAAUAUUUUUGUGAAAAGGUUGCAGGUGUAAACAUAGUUUUGCACCGUAAGCUGGAGGGUUCAGAGGAGAAGAAUAAAAUGUCCAAGGAGCAAGCCAAGGAGACAGAGAAGGAGAUGAAAAUUGUUCUGGAUGACAAUGUGAAACUAAGCGGUCAGAUUCAAAAAUUAAAUAUGUUAAAUAAAGAGAUUACCGCCUUUGCUAAUAAUAGUAAAAGGAAAUUGCAAAGUGUUCUAGCCGUAAACAUGGAUUUGGAUAAGAAGGGGGAGGAGGGAGCUACUUUGCCAAAUAAGGAAUUGGAAACCGUUGGAGUUGAAAACGUGAAGGGGAAAUUACAAGGCAUAAGUCACAAGAAGAGUGAACAAACUGUGGAGACCCCAUCGGCAACUCCAACCAAAGACUCUGGCGUGAAAAAACCCACUGUGUGGCGGAUAAAAACGACCGCAACGACAUCUUCGGCGCCUCCACCAAAGGGUCAUUAUGAAUAG
This 1812-nucleotide ribosomal RNA is filed under the name Triticum aestivum (bread wheat). RNAcentral describes it as "partial small subunit ribosomal RNA". Lineage: Eukaryota; Viridiplantae; Streptophyta; Magnoliopsida; Poales; Poaceae. The record is from RNAcentral.